This 239-nucleotide ribosomal RNA is filed under the name uncultured bacterium. RNAcentral's name for it is "partial 16S ribosomal RNA". It matches the Rfam family "Bacterial small subunit ribosomal RNA", at positions 118 to 353 of the family's 1533-position model. The record is from RNAcentral.
UGGGUAACCUGCCUUAUAGUGGGGGAUAGCCUUUCGAAAGGAAGAUUAAUACCGCAUAAGAUUGUAGUAUCGCAUGAUAUAGCAAUUAAAGGAGCAAUUCGCUAUAAGAUGGACCCGCGUCGCAUUAGCUAGUUGGUGAGGUAAUGGCUCACCAAGGCGACGAUGCGUAGCCGACCUGAGAGGGUGAUCGGCCACAUUGGGACUGAGACACGGCCCAGACUCCUACGGGAGGCAGCAUG